This is a long non-coding RNA of Carassius carassius (crucian carp), 230 nucleotides long. RefSeq lists it as uncharacterized. The transcript is spliced from 3 exons. Lineage: Eukaryota; Metazoa; Chordata; Actinopteri; Cypriniformes; Cyprinidae. The record is from RefSeq and is a predicted model, not a curated record.
GACAAGAAACAUAUAUGUUUGGAUGAAACAUUCAGCACUGGGUUUCUGAAGAAUGAGAAGAGAUUCAAUGUGGCAGUGACGAGAGCAAAAUCCCUGCUCAUCAUGGUUGGAAACCCCAUCAUUCUACAGACAGAUGCAAACUGGGGCAGGUUUAUUCAUUACUGCAUUGAGAAGGGAGGUUAUACUGGAUAUGAUAUUUCCAAUUUGGAGGAAACGGAGGUGGUUGUUGA